This 502-nucleotide ribosomal RNA is filed under the name uncultured bacterium. Its description in RNAcentral is "partial 16S ribosomal RNA". It matches the Rfam family "Bacterial small subunit ribosomal RNA", at positions 28 to 507 of the family's 1533-position model. The record is from RNAcentral.
GACGAACGCUGGCGGCGUGCCUAAUACAUGCAAGUCGAACGAACCGCGACUAGGUGCUUGCACUUGGUCAAGGUGAGUGGCGAACGGGUGAGUAACACGUGGGUAACCUACCUCAUAGUGGGGGAUAACAGUCGGAAACGACUGCUAAUACCGCAUAGGACAUAGGAUCACAUGAUCCAGUGAGGAAAGGUGGCGCAAGCUAUCGCUAAGAGAUGGACCCGCGGUGCAUUAGCUAGUUGGUAGGGUAAAGGCCUACCAAGGCGAUGAUGCAUAGCCGACCUGAGAGGGUGAUCGGCCACAUUGGGACUGAGACACGGCCCAAACUCCUACGGGAGGCAGCAGUAGGGAAUCUUCCGCAAUGGACGCAAGUCUGACGGAGCAACGCCGCGUGAGUGAAGAAGGUCUUCGGAUCGUGAAGCUCUGUUGUUAGAGAAGAACAGCGCAUAGAGUAACUGUUAUGCGUGUGACGGUAUCUAACCAGAAAGCCACGGCUAACUACGUG